RNAcentral lists this transfer RNA (71 nucleotides) under Stegodyphus mimosarum. It matches the Rfam family "tRNA". Rfam says of the family: Transfer RNA (tRNA) molecules are approximately 80 nucleotides in length. Their secondary structure includes four short double-helical elements and three loops (D, anti-codon, and T loops). Lineage: Eukaryota; Metazoa; Arthropoda; Arachnida; Araneae; Eresidae. The record is from Rfam by way of RNAcentral.
GCUUUCGUGGUGUAACGGUACAGCACUCGACGCGUAUUCGAGAGGUCCAGGUUCGAAUCCUAGUGAGGGCC